RNAcentral lists this ribosomal RNA (254 nucleotides) under uncultured bacterium. RNAcentral describes it as "partial 16S ribosomal RNA". It matches the Rfam family "Bacterial small subunit ribosomal RNA", at positions 524 to 776 of the family's 1533-position model. The record is from RNAcentral.
UACAGAGGGUGCGAGCGUUGUUCGGAAUUAUUGGGCGUAAAGCGCGUGUAGGCGGUGAUGCAUGUCGGGUGUGAAAGCCCUCAGCUCAACUGAGGAAGUGCGCCCGAAACUGCAUCGCUGGAGUGCCGGAGAGGAAGGCGGAAUUCCCGGUGUAGUGGCGAAAUGCGUAGAUAUCGGGAGGAACACCAGUGGCGAAGGCGACUACCUGGCCUGUUUCUUGACGCUGAGGCGCGAAAGCUAGGGGAGCAAACGGG